This 490-nucleotide ribosomal RNA is filed under the name uncultured bacterium. RNAcentral's name for it is "partial 16S ribosomal RNA". It matches the Rfam family "Bacterial small subunit ribosomal RNA", at positions 30 to 507 of the family's 1533-position model. The record is from RNAcentral.
AUUGAACGCUGGCGGCAGGCUUAACACAUGCAAGUCGAGCGGUAGCACAGGGGAGCUUGCUCCCUGGGUGACGAGCGGCGGACGGGUGAGUAAUGUCUGGGAAACUGCCUGAUGGAGGGGGAUAACUACUAGAAACGGUAGCUAAUACCGCAUAACGUCGCAAGACCAAAGAGGGGGACCUUCGGGCCUCUUGCCAUCAGAUGUGCCCAGAUGGGAUUAGCUAGUAGGUGGGGUAAUGGCUCACCUAGGCGACGAUCCCUAGCUGGUCUGAGAGGAUGACCAGCCACACUGGAACUGAGACACGGUCCAGACUCCUACGGGAGGCAGCAGUGGGGAAUAUUGCACAAUGGGCGCAAGCCUGAUGCAGCCAUGCCGCGUGUGUGAAGAAGGCCUUCGGGUUGUAAAGCACUUUCAGCGAGGAGGAAGGUGGUGAGCUUAAUACGUUCAUCAAUUGACGUUACUCGCAGAAGAAGCACCGGCUAACUCCGUG